ACCAGACUCCUACGGGAGGCAGCAGUGGGGAAUAUUGGGCAAUGGGCGCAAGCCUGACCCAGCAACGCCGCGUGAAGGAAGAAGGCUUUCGGGUUGUAAACUUCUUUUAAGAGGGAAGAGCAGAAGACGGUACCUCUUGAAUAAGCCACGGCUAACUACGUGCCAGCAGCCGCGGUAAUACGUAGGUGGCAAGCGUUGUCCGGAUUUACUGGGUGUAAAGGGCGUGUAGGCGGGACUGCAAGUCAGAUGUGAAAACCACGGGCUCAACCUGUGGCCUGCAUUUGAAACUGUAGUUCUUGAGUACUGGAGAGGCAGACGGAAUUCCUAGUGUAGCGGUGAAAUGCGUAGAUAUUAGGAGGAACACCAGUGGCGAAGGCGGUCUGCUGGACAGCAACUGACGCUGAGGCGCGAAAGCGUGGGGAGCAAACAGGAUUAGAUACCCCAGUAUU
This 449-nucleotide ribosomal RNA is filed under the name uncultured bacterium. RNAcentral describes it as "bacterial SSU rRNA". It matches the Rfam family "Bacterial small subunit ribosomal RNA", at positions 330 to 794 of the family's 1533-position model. The record is from RNAcentral.